UUUGUGUUUGUCAAUGGCAAGCAAAUUCUCCAAGAUUAGGAUUUUGAAAAUAACUUAUCAAAUAGCUUGAGUGGAGAUGUUUUCGAUCUUUGGUAGCAAGAUGCCAUGGAUUCUUGCAUUACUAAGGAUCAUGCCUCACCAUAGAAAUUGAACACAAAAAACAGUGGAAGACUCUAAAACAUUGAACAAGGAACUUAGUAUGUUUAUAAAUGGCUUCGAACGACCUGAUAGAAUCAACUAUUUAUCCGCUCGACCUAUGUCCCAUAUCCCAUGUUGAAAUCAAGGGAAUAAUGUAGAAAACAUGUGCAAUUACUUACAAGCCAAUGAUGUAAGCAUCGCAAUCAUUUGUUUGACGUUGCAAUUCAUAAAGGUAUCAGAUCUAGAUAAAUCUGUGCACAAAAACUUUACUUCCACUAACGCCCUUUGUUUGUACUCUAAUGUUUGUUCUAUUGUACAAAUUAUUGAGAGUAAGUUGUGGAAGGCAUUAAAUAUAGCCGAUACUUUCCAUGCUAUUUAUUAUAGUCGACAUAUUUAUAGUAAAUAUUGACACUCUCCAUGCUAUUUAUUAUAGUCCAAGUAUUUUUAGUAAAUAUUGCAGCUAUAGUGUUUGGAAUGUAGUGGGGAGGAAUUGCUUAUCUUCUCCCCUUCUGUGUCCACAUUACUUCUAGUUACUCUUGUCUCUCUCUUAAAUAUUCUCAACACAAAUGAAUUUAAUGCAUCCACUCUAAAAAGGAAAAAGUCUUACAGAAAGCUGGAAAACUAUCUCUGAUACAGUUAUCAUCUGGGUCUCAUGUCACUGAGCUGAAUCAUCCCCUCGACGGUGAUCAGAUGAUCCCCAUCACGACGAACCGAUCCUCGUCUAGGACCACGAGGAUUCAACACCGAUGCCUCUGAUUCUUCUGUUUCUGAAACCGCGGUCAGCUCCUCCUUGCCCAAUCCAAGCAACCGCAACGAGUCAAGCUGCCGCUCUUUCUUUCUCGAGGUCAGCACCAUCACCUCCGACUCUGUGUCGUGCUGCAACAUGGUCACUACCCUGGCCAUGGUGGGCCUGUCCUCUGCAGCGCUUUGAGAGCACAGGAGAGCUAUGUUGAUCAGCCGCUGCAAUUCUACCUUCUCACCCUCUGAAAGGAUUAGUGCUGGGUCUACCAGCUCCAUCAGCUUGCCCUCCGAAUGCAGUUUCCAAGCCUGCACUUAUUGACAGAUGAUCGAUGCGUUGGAUAUCAAUAGCUUCACAAAAAAUUUAAUAACGCAUGUGCACAAGCUGCUCAGUCACGUUUUGCCAAUCAGGCCUUAAUUUAUAUAUACAGUGAGAAAACAGUGAGAGCUGUACUGGUUACUAAGAGCAAAAGAACUGAAAGUUGAAUCAGAAUGAAUCGUUAAGGUAAUAAAAGUAUGAAUCAUACCCAUUUGGAGAGAUAGACUUCGUCUAGUGGCAUUGUCUCAUCAAUGUUCCUUCGGCCACUCAAAACCUCCAAACACAGAACUCCAAAGCUGUAGACGUCCACUUUCUCACUCAGUUGGCCAAGCGACGCAUAUUCCGGUGCCAAAUACCCCCUGCGUGAGUGUACAUGUAUGCUGCCUUAGUCCAAAUCCUGAACUCUACUCUCUGGGAUGAGUUAACAUCAUACACAAUCUUAGAAAGGACCCAGUUAAUGGUUUGAAAUCCAGUCAUAUUUAAUCAAUCAGGUGGACAAACAAGUUUCGUCCAAGUGCGAAACAUAUACUCUAGGUUUCGAAGUGGCAAGGCAUUCGCAUAACUUACUUGGUGCCAGCCACAUGUACUGUCAUGAUGUGGCUCUUCUCUUCCGGAAACAGCAAGGCUAACCCAAAAUCUGCAAUUUUCGGCUCGAAGUUCUUGUCUAGCAAGAUGUUGCUGGCUUUGAUAUCUCUAUGGAUGAUUUUGGGUCGCGCCAGUGAAUGUAAGUAGUGCAAGCCACGCGCUACACCCAGACAAAUGUUAUGCCGAACAGUCCAACUCAGGAGAGUAUUAUGUUCACCACCUGAAAAGUAUGGGUUGUAUCUAUUAAGAGAAUAUCCUAGAAACCAGAAUGCGAAGUGAGUGCAUAUUGCAUUAAAUUAAUUGCAUAGAAGAAAUAUUUUUGGUUCUGGUUGGGAAAGUUAACGAACUCACGGAGAAGAACUUGGUCGACAUCGUAGUUAUCCACAUACUCGUAUACCAGCAAUCUCUGGUGUUCACGAAGGCAGCAGCCUCUCAGAUUCACAAGGUUUCUGUGCUUCAUUCCAGUGAUACAGACAACUUCGUUUAGAAAGUCGUCUAUGCACUGUGUGUUCUUCAUAAACAGCUGCUUCACAGCCACCGUAGUCUGAUUUGGCAGAAUGCCCUGCAGCAUCAAGUGAACUUAUUACUAAAAUUUCCUUCGCUGUUGCGUCAAGAAAUUGACAAAAGGAACAGCUGAAUAAAGCCAAACUAGACAAACAAGACAGAUAUUUCUUUUCUCCGAACCCAUUCUUGAGCAUUUAGUCCUCCACUAAGAUUCAAGUGUGUGUAAACUACUCGUUAAUCUUGUCAAUUAGUUACCUUGUAUACGGUUCCAUAGCCUCCUUCACCCAACUUCAUAUCUGGAUGAAAAUCCCGGGUGGCAGCUCUGAGCUCAUUGUAUGCAUAUAUUGUGGGCUUGACAUCAAACUCUUCGAAUUCUGCAACCAUUUACAAAGUAAGGAUAUAAUCUAUCUCGGACAUUGACCUGCUCUGACUUGAACCUUUCUCUUCAUAAAAAACAAAGACAAUCUCGUCUGUGAAGAAAACACUAAGUUAUUGGUGUUGAUGGACUUACUUUUGCUAACUUGAAGGAGGAGAUACCGUUUGUAUCUUCGGGCUCUGUAGAGUAGCGCAGCAGCAAUAACUGCUAUUAUGACCAGUACUAAUACUGUACUUGUGGCAGCUGCUAUUAUGAUAACCCUCUUGUUACUCAAGGAACCUGAAAGAAAAUAAAUCUCUAGUUAGAAUUCGUUAUCUGAGAAGAGAAAGAGUUCUAAUGCAACUAGUGAAAACAAGAUGCUCCAGAACCAAUGCAUUUUGAAAGUAACUCUUGAUUCGACCUUCACCUUCAUCACUGCAGAACUGUUGACAAAAACAUCUUGUAGCAUCAUCAGCUUUUCGUUUACAGUAUGGAUUGCCUUGCAGUCUGUGUAUGGCAACAAUUUCAACAGGCAAAGCACUGCUGGGUCAGUUGGAUCUAAGAACUUCUAGGUGCUCAUGCUAGAAAGUGCAUACAUUUGUGUCCAAGAAUUUAUGCUAUUGUAAAGUUCAAUUAAUGGAUUCAUUUGGGAAAUUAUGAAGAUUAACCUUAAAGUAGUUGCAAUGUCUUCAAUGCUUCCCGUGUAAAUUACAUGGGUAAUUUUGUUGUUCAUCAUUGACAGAGUGCUUAGCCCGUAUGAUCCAAUAGCAGACUUCCUCCGAAAGAAGUGGCUCCCAAUAAGUUGAUUGACGUCAAGAGUUCCACUGAUGCCAGUGUUAUCUAGAUACCUGCCAUACCCAUUUACGUGAGAUAUAUCAAACAAUUGAAUCUCACCGUAGUUGCCAUGUUCUAUGAAAAAUAUUGAGCCGUUGUUGGACUAAACCUCUGAGAAGUGUAAUUUGUGUAAGAAAAAAAGGAAAGAAAAAAGAAAAAGAAAAUCGUGCGAGAGAACUGGAGCGAUAAUUGCUUACAGUUCCUCAAGAGAAGCCAGAUCUGAGCCGUUCCAGCCUGUAACAGUUCCUAUCACGUGAUUGCCGGAUACGUGAAGCACAGAAAGACUGCUGCUCACGAUGCCUGCGUUUUUAAGUGAGGCGAAUGGAAAUUCUCCAGUAAAAUUGUUAUAGUCCAAUUUCCUGCAACAACCAUGCAGGUUGCCUUUAAACAUCAGAUUCUCGGAAUAUAAAUUUAGCACCAAAAGUUGAAUGUGUCACAGUCGAUUUACUUAGUGUGCAUAAAUGACCCGCUUAGAAAUUAAACAGAAGAAAAUAGCCACGCAGUAGAAGAACAAUAAAUUGGCUCACAGGUUUAGGGUUUCAGGAAGCAUGAAGAGCCUGGGCUAGCCUUACAGAGUUCUUAAAGAAGUGAACCUUGUCAGGUUAGGCAGUGGCCCAUUGAAGCUAUUGUUCGACAAUAUCCUGUGCAUGACAACACGUUGGCUCAACACUUUGACUAAGCCUCCAAAACCAAAAUUUGAUUAAUUGGGCUCAAUGAUAAGAAGAAGCGACAUAUUCAUGAUUAUUACGAUUAGUACUCUCAACUGUGCAGCAUCUCUUUGGCAUUACUAAACUGACUGAUACAUGCUGUGGAAUACAUCCACAAGCACUCACGUUCAAAAUCAAGAUUCCUUGAGAGCUUCAUGUAGUUGUAAAGACUCUGUAAAAAAUACCAUAUAGUACUUAACGACGAGAUUAAGCAAUGAGCUCAAAUGUAAGGAAUGAAUGACACUCACAAAGACUGUAGGCGCUGGCAUGUAGUGAGAUCUGGCAGAGGUCCAGUGAGGUUGUUCACAGAUAAGUCCCUGCAUCAUUCCAUCAUUAAUCUCUAAAACCAAACAUCCACUUUGUAUUCGUAGAGCAAUUAAAACAAUUUGAGCUACUUGUAGAGAAAAUGAUGCAAACUUAAUGAACAAGAGGGUUGUAGGAAAUGAAAAACCAAUGCACGGAUUCAGAAUCUCACAGUAAUUCCAACUGCGUCAUGUUUACGAAGGCAUCUCCAGAUAUGCUGCCGUUGAAGUGGUUCCUGGCGAGCUUGAGUGUCUGAAGAUAAACCAAGCUGCGGAUUUGAGGAAAAAAUCCCCCAACAAAUUGAUUGCCACUCAGAUCUCUGUAAAAAUCAAUGAAAGACAUGUGCAGUACAUACAAGAUCAGUCGAAGUGUGAACUCCAGUUUUAGGGUUUCAAGGAUAGAAAUGAAAGAAACAGGAGCUAAGUAAUUGCACUUUUGUAAUCUAAACUUACAAAUUUAAAAGCGUGUAGAGGUAUGGUACAUCUGGAAGAGUUCCGUUAAACCCAUUGUCGUGGAGAUCUCUGCAAUGAAUUAGCACCAAUACUGAAUGUUAAGAUGUUAGAAGUAGGGUAGACGUUACACAAAAGUUGAUGUUGACAAAACAUUGAUUGCUGGCGCUCGGAUUCGGAGCUCACAGAAUAUACAGAUAUGGAUCUUGGAUUUCUGGGGGCAGAGGUCCAGUUAAGUUUUGAUUUCCAGUCAAUUCUCUGCAGAGGAAUGCAAGGUAACUUCUUGUCAGUGUCGGAGGGUGUGACACAUGACCCAAUACUUCCCAUUAUAUAUCCAUAUUCUUUCAUAAUAGUCGUUGGUAAGGCCCAUUUUGGUGUUGCUGUGCUCUUGUAUUAAUCUCGUCAGAUCAUAUGAACUCAGCUAGAAGAAGGAGGGGGAAGGGGGAUAAGAAAAAUAUUGUGCUCUCCGGUGCCAAGCAAAUUCUACAGGAUUAGGGCUUCGAGCAUAACUCACAGCGUAGUCAGAGUGGUGAUGUUUCCGAUCUCCGGCGGCAAAUAGCCUGAGAUGGAUGCAUUGUUGAGGGUCCUGUACAUCCUCCCAUUCAAGUUAGAUAAUUGCUAAAACAUAAAGGUCAGAGGAGAUAGCUCAUUUCUUAGAAAUGAAAGAGAGUAGCACGGUCUACUUACAGGCCAACGAUAUAACCACUGCAAUCAUUUGUGUCAUUACAAUUGAUAUUCUCAAGACACUGCACUCCUCGCCAAUUAGGAAUAUUGUCAGGGUUCUUAUAAAUCUGCCAGCAAGGGAAGAUUUGGGAAGAAUUCCAGCCACCCAAAUUGUUUCGCUGGUCGGGAGUGGUUUUGCUCCAUGCCGCCAAAAGGGCUUGCAGAGCAUCCACUGGCCCAAAUCCCACCACACACACACAAACUCAACAUCACAUGCCACAUGGGAUGUUACUCCACUUCCACACCUGUGAUUAACUUAGCCUGUAUCCGGCCAGGCCCCUUGAGAAUUUCAAGUCUCACUCUCUUUUCUCUCUAGCGCAGCAAGAAUAUCGCCCUAGGUUCAAGAGACGCAGAUCCUUAUCCUUCUUCUUCUCAACCCCGUCGACCCUGCUAGAAUGAGUAGGAAAACUACUCCGUCACAAGUACAAAAAACUAAUAAUUCUACCUAGUCUGAGCCCUGGCCCCUCGCAGACUGCGUCACCGACAGGUGAAGAGACAUGAUGGCGGAUGGAAUGGACAUGUACACUUGAGUUUGCCGAAAUUUAUAGGAGGAAGGCUUCAUCGACAAUUUCAGUAUAAUAAUUAAGUUCCUAGCUAAAUUACAAACUUUCAGAACUUGGAAAUGUUGCAGACUUGCAGUGGAGAGCAUCUGAGCAGGACAUUGAAGAGAAAUUAAUAUGCCUGAUUGUGAGCAUGCCCUUUCUGAGCGGCCUAAUUCAGCUUCUUAUUUCCUCUAGUGCUUAUGCGUCCAUUUACAUAUUACACACCAGCUUUAAGAUGCGUGCAUCCUCAGAUACCUCACAUACAUUACUAUGCCUCAGUACUUGACUCAUAACUUACGCGGUGUAGCCUUAAAGCUGGAGUGAUAUGAUCAUCGUCAAUGGACGCUCGGCGCAUAAGCGCUUGAGGAUAUAAGAAGCUAGCUCUCAGUGCUCUAAGAAUUUACUUCUACAGCUGGUAUAUAUCAGCUAGCAACGGUUAAUACACGAGAAUAUUGAGCAAUUACACUCACACUGGACAGGUGAGAAAAUCGUUCGAUUGACAGCCUCGGUGGGAAGAGGUGACGAGAAGAGAACCGCCACCACCACCACAAGCAUGAUUGAGUUCAGUCGGCGCUGAUGCAGCACCCAUCCCUUGACACCCAAAACACAACCCGUCUCGGAACCAGGUGUUGUUACAUGCUCCGAAACUUUCAAGCUUGACCCUGCCAUUGCCGAGUUUCUCCGACUGACUGUUGCUUGUAAUAAAGUUGUGGACAGUUGGGCAUCGAACUGAAGGCCUCAGACGGGAUCAGUUGGUGUUCGUGAAGAAGUUCUCAGCAUUGACAGUGCCAAGUUGAUGAUCACGAGAUUCGAUCGCACACUCAAGCAGAGGAUUCGCAAUGGAAAGCAAGCAAAUGCUCUGGAUAACAUGCGGCGAAAGAUGUGACAAACAGUCUAUAUUAUAAACACGAGCCACCAAGCGGUCAACGUCGACACUGUAUGGGUCACAUAUGAUCCUCGUCUUCACUCACAACUGAUGUCUCAAUUUCGUCUGUACGGAAUUCAUAUACAAUUUGCCCAACAAACUUUUGUCAAGCAGAGCGAGCCUGUUGCAGGCGGGGUUCCACGACGACUUUGUAGCACAAGGCUUGAUGAUAAGAUUCUCUGGAGCUCUAAUUAAAAUUACAGUGACCAUCGGUGGCUUGCAACUUGACAGCUUCCAAAUUAGAUAAUGCUCAGAAAUUAAGUUGAAGUAGCCGCUUGCAGUUAUGGACACGACACAUAAGCUUUAUCUUGGACCACAAUGAGAAUCCUAGGCAGCGACUAAGUUAGAAGUUACUAUGUUAUGGACAUAUAUUGGCUCCACAGCAUGAAAUCUGUAUCAUAGAACCGGCGAUGGGGUAGAACGCGUUGAUUCAGUGGUCAAUCCUGUCUGAAGCAUGCAGGUUCGCUACGAACAUGUAUUAUUCCCAAAGAAUCCAUGUCAUCAAGGUAUAUGGUUGGUUACGGAUAUGAAUAUGGUAUGUAUAUAGUAUGUAUAUGAUUGGUUAUCAAGAGCACAUGGUAUGAAAAGUCCACUUGCUAUAUUAUUUCUUUCUCCGGAAAGAGCCCAGGGGCCUUUUUUGCCCACCUUCACGUGCUAGUGAUGACUUGUGUAUACUCCUGAUGGGCGGGUCGCGUCUGGACCUCCGGGUACUGAAAUGGCUCACUAUUUAAAUCAAUCAUUUUCUCAAUAUAUUUAAUCAUUUGAUCAGUAAUCUAUUUUAACAUGCAAACGGUGUCAAAUAGGGAUAAUGGGCAAUGGAAGGCUUUGCGUUUCUCAGAUUUGGCAGGAAGAAGGCUACUUUGGCCUAUUUAGGGUUUAUACAGAAUUAUCAAUUGUGACAAUGUAAUGGUGACAUGACAUUGUGAUGAGUUGUGACAUGAUGGACCCCUUUGUCAUGUCACAAUAGGAUCAACCUAGGAUUGAACCCUAGAAUUCACCUUAGGGAAAUCAAAAUUAUUAUUCCUUUGAUGUCAUACUUUGUACCUUGAAUCUCCUAAACUUGUUUGGACAAUUUGCAUUGUGUAAUUAGACAAUUCAAAAUAAUUUUCUUAUUGGUGCUUAUUAUUUUCUAUUUACGUUAGUAGCUUAAAUUGAGUUGCAUCAAUCUACAUAGGUUUAAGGCCCAUUGAAUGCUUCUUUGAUGUUUUUAAAGAAAUAACAAUUGCACCUUGGUAAUUAUUACUAGGAAUCUAUUAUCUUUCUUAUCACAAUUCAAAUAAGCAAUUAUUGCAAGUGAUAGCUUGAGAUAUGAGUUCUUUUAAAUUAUUGGUUCAUGGCAUUGUAAUCAAUCAAUUUUUCACAUUGUUUCUUAAAUAAUAUUGAAACCGAGUUAUAAAUGCCUUAUUGUUCCAAUCAUGGUCACAUGCAAGCCGUUGAAAUUUUGUUGCAUAAAUUACGAUUAAAAGUGAUCUUUGUUGCAAAUUUUGUAUCUUCUUUGCUACCACCAUCACUUGAUCACUAUCCUCAAAUACAACAAUAAAUCUCUCCAUAAAGGCCUUUAGGUCAUAUAAUAUUGGAGUUUUUUUUUUAAUAAUGGAAUAAAUUAUGAAUAAGUAUUUCUUAAUAAAAAAAGUACCUACAAAAGUAACUUGAGUAAACCUGUUUUGAUAACGAGAAGGAUAUAAGCGUUAGUAGAGCCAUUGUUGUGUUGUAACACAACUGUAUGGUGAAAGAUAAUAAUAUGGAUCUUAUUAUAGAAGAGCCAAGUUAAAAGAUAAACUAAAAAAAUAUGGAUGAAAGAUAGGAAGGUAGUAAAAAUUUUAGUAGUAAUGCUACAUUUUAGAAAGAUAGCUUCUUCUUACUUUGUAGGGCCAAAAAUAAGGCAUAAUAAAGUAGAUUAGAAAAAUAAAGGAUAUGAGCAUUUAUAGGAAGAAGUUAGGAGUGGAUUUUAACAAAAAUUAACUCAAAAAGACAAAAUUUGAUACCCAAAGAGGGCCAGUUAUCACCUUGGAUCGAAAUCAGACCCUGAGGCACAAAACUGAGCACCUACAGCAACUCGUGGGUUCUUUGGUAGAUCAGAGAAUGGGAUUUGAUAGCACACUAGAUAAGAUUUCUAUAAGCAUUGUUUUUGUGUGAUUUGGAUUCGAAAUGACUUUGUAAGAGCUUUACAAACUCAAAUUUGUUUUUGGAUGACUUAAAUUUUCUAAAAUAAAAUAGGGUUGUUAUUUUGGAUUGGAGUCAAACUUAUAGGUGAGGAAAUUAGACUUCUUUUCCUAUGUAUAGAAGAAUUUUGAAAUCAAUCAAUUGGUGAAAGGGAGAGAUAUUGGCUCUAGAAGAUUGGCAUCAAGGUCAGAGAAGGAAGCUAGCCAAUACCUGAGCACAUUUUUGAGGUUAUCAUCUAUUUGGUAAUUUCGAUCCUUUUCAAAUUUUUUUUUGCUUUUUUUCAACUCAAUUGUUAAGAAGUGUGCAAAUUUUGAGUGAAGAUCAACUGUUCAUUCAUUAGUUAUUGAGGUUUAAAUCUAUUGUAGAAAUUACUAGGGUUUGAUUAAGGUUGGAUUUAGAAUUUAGGAUUUGAUUUAGGAUUUAUGAUUUAGUUAGGAUUUGGUUUAGGGUUUAAGAUUUGAUUAGGAUUUGAUUUAGGAUUUAGAGUUUGAUUAGGAUUUGAUUUAAGAUUAUGAUUUGGUCAGAAUUUGAUUUAAGAUUUACGAUUUGAUUAGGAUUUGAUUUAAGAUUUAAGGUUUGGUUAGAGUUUGGUUAGGAUUUGAUUUAGGAUUAGGAUUUGGUUAGGAUUUGAUUUAGGAUUUAAGAUUUUGUUAGGAUUUGAUUUAGAAUUAGAUUUUGGUUAGGCUUUGAUUUAUGAUUAAGAUUUGAUUAGGAUUUGAUUUGGAAUUUAGGGUUUUAUUAGGAUUUAUUUAAGAUUUAAGAUUUUAUUAGUUUUUAACCUAAAAUUUGAAUGAAAUCCAAUAAGAUUUUAACUAGGAUUAAAUUAUAAUUAAAUUAAGAUGUAUUUGAGAUAUAUUUGUAAUCAUUCAAAUAUUUCUUUAAGAUUUUUUAUUUGUAAUUCCUUUGAGGUUUCUUUGAAUUUGAUUAAAGCUUGCUUAACAUUGUUAUGGUUUAAUUAGAGUUUAGUUAAUGUUCUAUUAGAUUUAGGAUUUUGUUAUUACAAUUUCCAUUCUACCUUCCACAGUCAGGUGUUUGGAGCAUUCUCAAGUAAAACUUCACAUAUUACAACACUAUACUUAUUGCACAAAACCUUGGAAGUUGGAUUUUGUUUCAUUAAACUUUUCUAACAUACUAGUGUUUGGUUCUUUUGUAGUAGUCCUUGAACCAUCUGCAAGGGUCAUAUGUGGCACAUGUCUAAUACUUGCUUCUCUCAAUCAAACAACUUCUUACUAUAAACUAUGAAUUUUUUAUUUAACUUCUUCAGUUAUAAAUUAAUAUGAGAUUCUUUAUUUGAAUUGCAAAAAAAUACAAUCUCCUCUUAUAAAUUAUCCAUAAGAGCUCAAAGAUCUAUAAGAGUUGCCACUCUAUUUUCUACUUAUAAAGGUGCACCUCCUAUGACCUUAUUUACUUCUAUAUUAUAAAAUAAAUAGAUGAAAUUGAAUGAAAGAAGAAGAAAUUGUUAUAUAUUUGAAAAAAUUAUAGUACUACCUAUAAUUAAAAAUAAUUUAGAAAAAGAAAUAAUAUUAAAUAAUCUCAAUUUAGAUGAGGAUAACCAAAGGUCGACCAUUUCUGAGACAAGGUCAAAAUCAGACCUCUAGCUACUAAAACGACCAUUUAGGACAAAAUAGGAUUUCAUUUGAAGAUUAAAGAUUAGGAUUUGAGAGCUAGGUUAGAACUUCUUCUAAAAACAUAAGAUUGAUUUUAGUAGGAUUUGGAAAGUGUUAGCAAUUAUUGUUGGAAGUCAAGGUUUGUAUUGGCAACUUGAGAUUUAUGCAAUGAAAUUAGGGCUAGCUCUCUCACCUAGUUUGUAAAAUUGGUAUCACAUCUAUAAUUUAAAUUUUUAUAAUGCUUGGAUAAUUAGGUAUUCUAAGUGUAUGUAAAAUUUUGUAAUAAUCCAACUCUACAAUUGGAAGAUAUAUGGAUUUUGAUACAAGCACAUAUCGAAAGUUGGCAGUUUGGGGUUGAAUAGGAUUUUUAUGAUAUCUAAAGAUCUACUUGUCGAAUCAAGAUGAAAUUUGGCAUGGUGUUGAAAGACUUGCAGAUCAAGUUGAAAACCAAUUUUGAGUCAAAGUUAACAAUUAGAGAAGGAGAAAUCACUACUAUAAUUUUUGCUUCACCUUUCAAGUUGGCGGCUAAGUGACAUUAGUGGAAUUAUUGGAGGUUUUCUCACAAUCUCUAAGUUGGAUUGGGCUGAAAAUUCUUGAGCAUAUGGAAGAUUUAUAUUGACAAUUUCAUGCAAAAUUUUACAUGAAAAAGACGGUCAAAUUAGAAGUUACAUCUUAUCAAAGCUCAUGGUUAGGAUUGAGGCUUACAAGAAAAAUCUAAAUUACUUAAAUAUGAAAGUAACAAAAUAAUUGAGAUUUAUGUGUGAACAAGGCUACUAAAAAGAGUGUGUUUUAGUACUUUUGAAUCAGAAUUUGGAUUAUAUUCUUUUCAUAUGGAUAAAAUCUAUUAGGAUUUCUUAGAUGUUUACAAAAUACAACCUCAUCUUCCAUAGCUAGGUGCCUAGUGCAUUUCUAAGUAAGAUAACAUGUAAUACAACAAUGUCAUAUCUUUUAGACUUAUAAAUGCACUAGCAAUUUUUCAACAACUAAUUAAUGAUAUUUAUUGAUAAUUUUUAGAUGAAUUUAUUGUCUUUUACCUAGAUGAUGUCUUAAUUUAUUUUAAGAAUAUAAAAGAAUAUGAACUUCAUGUUUGUCAUGUAUUAAAAAAACUAAGAGAUGGGAGACUCUAUACCAAGAUAAAAAUUUGAGUAUUCUAUAUUACUUAGGUCGGCUUCUUAAGAUACAUCAAUUCAAAUGAUAGACUUAUGAUGGAUCUUUAAAAAAUUUAAACUAUUAUAAAUUAGAAGAUUCCAAAAAUAAUAAGAGAUGUCUAAUAUUUUUUUGAGAUUUGCCAACUGCUGUCACAUCUUCAUCAAGAACUUUUUUUUAAGUUGUAGCUCCACUUACAUGUUUGACUUAUAAAACAAACUUCAAUGAAAUCAAGAGGCGAAAGUAGCAUUUAAAGCUUUGAAGACAAUCAAUCUUAUAUCAUAUCAACUUUUUCAUUUAUGUAUUUUUGUACCAAUCUUAUAUUGCAUCAAUUUUUUUAAGCCAAUUUUAAUGAAAACAUAUGUAUUAAACUUUACUUUGAGUGUUGUAUUAUCACAAAUGUGAAUAUAUAAUAAACUUCAUCUCAUAACUUUUCAUUCAAAAAAAAAUUUAAUAGCCAAGAUCAACUACAAAAUUCAUGACAAAGAACUUUCUUCUAGAAAGAAAAGACUGAUCAUGUGUUCUUCAAGAAAGUCAAGAUUUUUUAAUGGCCAAACAUUUUAGAUACAAUAAGACUUUAGAACUUAUAUCCAAAGAUUUUUGGUGGCUAUAAAUAUAGAAGGUAGCCAAAGACUUUGUCCAAUCAUGUGAUGUUUGUUCAAGGUCAAAAACUCCUCAUCAUUGAUCCUACAGACUUUUCUAACCAUUAUUCAUUCUAAAACAAUUAUAGCCUUCUAUUUCUAUAGAUUUUAUUAUAAAUCUUUUAGUCUUAGAUUCUUAUGACUCUAUAUUUGUGAUAGUAGAUUAUUUCACCAAGAUGGUACAUUUUAUACAAUAUACUAAAGCUUUCACAUGUGAAGAAAUAGCCGAGCAUUUCUUUGAAAAUAUCUAUUCCUAUCAUGGAUUACCUAAAGAUAUUAUAUUGGAUAAAAAAACUCAGUUUGUAUGAAGAUUUUGGAGAAUACUUUUCAAGAUUCUAAAAGUGGAUAUAAAACCAUCUUCAAUUUUUUAAUCUCUAGUUUUUGUGUCUUUUGGCAAUAGCCAUUCUAGUUUAUUUUUUGAUAUACAUACUUUUCUAUUUUUAUUUUAUUAUAUUUCUUUGAGAGAGUCUUACUUGUUUAUUUGCUUUUAUCAAGUUUUUUUUCCUUGACAAAGGGAGAUGCAUAAGACAUAAGCACCAUUCAUUCAUUUGUAGUACUUGUGAUCACAACUACUUGAGCUCACCACCAAGUAUAACCACAAGAGGAUGAUGCAUGCAUUUGAAGAGCACAUAAUAGUAAAGAGUGAAGUUAGAAGUCAUGCACAAGACAAGAGCAUCAUUCAUUUAUUAGAAGUAUUUAUAAUCACAACAACUUGUGAUCACCACCAAGUGUCACCAUGAGAAGAAGAUACUUGCAUUUAGAGAGUAUGGAAUAGUAUUAAGUAAAAUUAAGAAUUAUACACAAGACACAAGUACCAUUCAUCUACUGGUUCCAUUUGUGAUCACAACCACUUAUGGUUAUCACCAAGUUCAACCACAAGAAGAUGAUGCUUGCAUUUGAAGAAUAUGAGAUAGCAAUAAGUGAAGUUAUGAGUCAUGUACAAGACACGAGUACCAUUCAUUCAUUUGUGGCACUUGUAAUCACAAUUACUUGUCAUUACCACCAAUUUCAAUCAUAAGAGCUAGAUGUAUGCAUUUAGAGAGCAUGGAAUAGUAAAGAGUGAAGUUUGGAGUCAUGUAUGAGAUAAGAACACCAUUCAUUCAUUUUUGGCACUUAAAUUACAACCACUUAUGAUCACCACGAAGUUCAACCAUGAGAAAAGGAUGCAUGCAUUUGGAGAGCAUGAAAUAGUAGCAAGUGAAGAUAAGAGCAAUGUAUAAGUCACGAGCAACAUUUAUUCUUUUAUGGCACUUAUAAUCACAACCACUUGUAAUCAUCACCAAGUGCAACCACAAGAUCAUGAUGCAUGCAUUUAUAGUCUAAGGGAUAGCAUCGACUGACGAUACAAGGCAUAUAUAAGACACAAGUAACAUUCAUCCAUUUGUAGCACUUAUGAUUAUCACCAAGUGCAACCAUGAGAGGUAGAUGCAUGCAUUUUUAGAGCAAAGAAUAGUAUUGACUAAAGAUACGAAGCAUAUAUAAGACACGAGCAUCAUUCAUCCAUUUGUAAUACUUAUGAUUACAACCACUUAUGAUCACCACCAAGUGCAAUUACAAGAGGCAGAUGCCUGCAUUUAUAAAGCAUUGGAUAGAACCAAGUAAAGAUAAAAGUCAUGCAUAAGAUACAAAUACCAUUCAUUCAUUUGUACCACUUGUGAUUACAACCACUUAUGAUCUCUAUUAAGUACAACCUCAAGACCAAGAUGCAUACAUUUAGAGAACAAGAGAUCGCACCAAGUAAAGAUACGAGGCAUGUAUAAGAUAUGAGGAACAUUCAUCCAUUUUUGGCACUUGUAAUCAUAAAUACUUGUGAUCACCACCAAGUGGAACCAUAUAAGGUAGGUGUAUGCAUUUGAAAAGCAUUUGAUAGCAUCAAGUGAAGAUAGGAGUCAUGAAUAAGUCACAAGUACCAUUCAUUUAUUUCAAGUAAAGAUACAAGACAUACAUAUGACACCAAUGUUAUUCAUCCAUUUCUAGUACUUGUGUUCACAACCACUUGUAAUCACCACCAAGUGCAGCCAUGACAGGAUGAAGCAUGUAUUUGAAGAGCUUGAGAUAGCACCAAAUGAAGAUACAAGGCAUGCACAAGACACAAACACCAUUCAUCCAUUUGUAGUACUCAUGAUCACAAUCACUUAUGAUCACCACCAAGUACCACCACAAGAAGAUGAUGCAUGCAUUCAAAGAGCAUGGGAUAGCACUGAGUAAUAAUAAGAGUCAUGCAUAAGAUACAAGCACUAUUCAUUCAUUUGUAGCACUUGUGAUCACAACUACUUGUAAUUACCACCAAAUGCAACUACAAGAGCCAUUAGAAUUGUCAUAAAAAAUCAAUUGUAUAUGAGUCAAAACUUGCUCAAAUUGGAUCAAAUUUGCAUACCAUGUUUAGGAUUUAAGGUUUAGGAUUUAAGAUUACAAGAAUGUUUCUAGUUUUUGGGCAUCAAUAUUUUUGAAUUUUGACUUGAAAUGUUGUAGAUUUGUUUCAAGAAAGCCAAAUCUUUGAUUGUUAAUUUUCUAUGCAAACUUCAUCCAAUUUGAUUAAAUUUUGGGUCAAAUGAAACAAAAAAAAUUUAAGGCAAUUCCAUUGGUAUAUAGCAUGUUUGUAGGUAUUUUGUAAAUCUCUAGCUAUGAAUAAAAAUGUAUCACAAAUUAGUUUCAAGAAAGUGAAAUCUUUGAUUAUUAAUUUUGUAUACAAACUUAAUCCAAUUUUAGCAGCGUUUAAUUCUAAUAUGACUAAUUUUUUAAGGCAAUUAUAUUGUUAUAAAGUAUAUUUGUGGAUUUUUUAUAAAUAUCUAAUUAUGACCAAAAAUAAAUUGCAGGUUUGUUUUAAAAAAAUCAAAUCUUUGAUUGUUGAUUUUGUAUCUAAAUUAGAUACAAUUUUAACAAGUUUUGAAUCUAAUGUGAUUGAUUUUUUAAGUUUAUUCUAAUGGUAUAUAGCACGUUUGUGGAUUUCUUAUAAAGCUCUAGAUAUGAACAAAAAUGUAUCAAAGAUUUUUAUUAAGAAACCAAAUCUUAUAUUAUUGAUUUUGAAUGCAAUUUUUGUUAUAUUGUUUCAAUUUUUGAAUCUAUUGUGAUUAAUUUUUCAAGGCAAUUAUAAUGGUAUAUAUCAAGUUUAUGUUAAAUUAUAUUUUUUUUUAUUAUAACCUCUAAAUCCAAAAUCCUAAGAUUUCAAAGUCAACAUGAAAGUAAAAAGUCAAAACCUUUAUAUUUUUCAAAUGGAAGUAGCAUAAGUAAAUGUUUUUACACCAUUGAAAUUAUAACCUUUGAAAAUAGAAGAUAGUUUAAUUCAAAAUCCCAAAAAAAGUAUGUCAAUUUUUUGGAAACACACAUAUAAUCCUAAACUUUAAAAGACAAUAAAAAUUACUUCUAACAUCUAAGGAAUUCUUAGAUCAAAUUACAUAAUUUCAAUAUAAUAAGUGAAAUGAAAUAUAGUUUGCAAGUAGAAUUAUUAUAUGAUGUUAUUUUAAAUUACAUAGCAAUAUAUACCAUGUUUUUGCUUAAUAUAAAAGUAAUUGUUUUGAACUUCUUUUUUCUAUUGUAAUAGCUUUUGUUUAUUUGUCAAGCUAUUUUUAAAUUAUUUUACAUAAUACAAGUUUUAUUUUAUUUUAGAACUAUUUAAAUACUAUUUUUAUCAAAAUAUAUUAAAUAAAAACAAUUAAGUCAAGUUUUUUACUAAGAAACCAAAUAAGUAAAAAUGCAACAACAAAAAAAGACAUUUAAAACUUUUGAAAAAACAUCCAAAUGUAGAAAAUAAAAAUAAAAAAAUUUGUAGAAGUAGGACUAAUCCAAUAUAGCUUUUUUUAUUAGAAAGAGAGUGACAUAUAUUAUUAGGUUCUAUAUAACAACUUCCAGAUUUUAUUCAGGAUACAAACCAUGCAAUAGAAUACAAAAUUUGGACAAAUAAUUAAACCUCCUACCUAUUAUCUACCAACUACUACUAGACCUUACUGCAACAAGAUAGAAAAUGAACCAUUUUUCUAAUAAAAUUAUGUGUUCUGUCUUUCAAUUAUAUCUUAAGUAGGCCCUCCACAUAGUGGAAGUGGUCAUUCAUAUCCAGAAGGUUCCAAGUUGGAAUCCAAGAGGUGGGACUAACUUUGGAUCAAUCCUUCCUUAUAUUUGUCAAUCCAAGCUAAAAUAUUUUAAAACAUUAAAUUGUUCUUUGGACUUCUCUCACCCUUAGGCUACCUUCUCUAAAGAUUCUCUCACCUUUAGGCUACCUUCCCUAAGGCUUCUCUCAUCAUCUUUGGUUUAUAAGUUACCACCUUGAGAGAGCACAUUAAAAAAAUUCAAUCUCUCCAUUGCCCAAUCUUAGGACAGAUUCUUGGUACCCAUAAUUUGCCAACAGCCAUGAGGUAGUGAUUCUACUAAUAACUAUUCUCGGUCAACCUUCACCAUUAACUAGGCCACAAAUCAGAAGAUCAUGACUGAUACCUGGUGCACGUGAUUUAAAAAUCACUGGACUGGAUUAAGGUAAUCCGCCAAUAAUACAUUUGGAAGGACGGUUGGCUUUUACCCUGAACAUCUGAAAUCUGCCUUGAUUACCUUCCAAGUUCAAAAUUUUACUUGAGAAUACGGGAUUGGGUUUGGACCAUAAAAGCUAUGGCUCCUGAAGUAAAUAGCCUUCUGUAAACAGAGGGUGCACAACUAGAGUGGAACUGGUUAGAGAAAGCCGCAACAUUGUGAGAGGUUCUACCCUUCCUUCCUCUAGACUUGGGUAGUUCAAAAUUCACUGCAAGGUAAUACACCAUAUUAUGAAUUUAUAAAACUAGGGACAGUAACUGGAAAAUACUUCAAAAUACCUGUUGUAUUUUUCAAUGCAUGGUCGAGAGAAUUUUUAUUUUCUAGUAUUGAGGAAGGGUAUGUCCAAAAGAUCAGAGUAGAUGUCUUUAUACAAAAAAAUUAAAAAAUACGCUUACUCCUUGACAUCUAGGGUUAAUGAAAAAUACUUCAAAAUACCUGUCACAAAUCAGAAAACUACCUAGGCUAGGUCUACAAUCUACACAGGUUUAGGGUAAAUCCCCAUGUGGAAAUGUGCUUACAAAGCUAUUCUAAAGUUACCAACAUCAAGGCAGGUCAUCUGAUUAAAUAAAUACCAUUUCAGGAAAUCAAAUCAAUUGAUGACCAACAAAUUAGAGAAAAAUACUACUUACAACUUACAAAGUAACGAGUCUAAAAUUACAGAAAUAGCUGACAAAAUUAAUAAGUGCAUAAAAUCCAGAUCUAACAGUAGUGCCUCAUCGAGGAUAUCAACUUUGUGACGAUGCCGAAUACUCAAUCAGCAACCGAUUGUCAACAGACGGUAUAGAGGAGAAAAGUACACGCAACUUGCUGUUGAGCUGGUAAAGCAAAGUCCACUGUGUAGCCAUUUCUGAUUCCUUGAGCUGGCGCACAACGGAUGCCUGCAAACAUACUAAUUUGUUAACUGGUAUUUAUAACAGACAAACCCCGAAGUUUAGACAAAAUCAGUCAGAAACAGCAAUCACUUUUUCCAGACAUGAUUGUAUAAUUGCAUUCAGAUAUAGAAAUAGCUACUGCAAUGUGUAAAAAAAGCUGAUGUCCUUGAAAAUUCAACGAACAUGACGACACUGACCAAUUGGUUAACCCCCGGACAUAACCAGUUCAGCAAUGUCAACCAAAACAAUGCAAGGUGGACUAGCUUUCUAACUAAAGCUCAUCAGAUACGGAACCUACAGAUAUCUUGCAAUUGGUACACGCUGAAUCCUAAGCCCUGGACCCUAACCCCUGUUUGUAGGAAUUGCAAAGUAAGAGCAAAUUCGCAUAAGUAUGAAUGCUAAGUCGCUCAAGCCAUUGCUAAAUGACAAACCCCAGUUUGACAUCUGCACAAUGUUGUUGCUUUCGAGUAAUGUGCUCAUUCAACAAUAAUUGAUUAGUGUAAUUAGUUACGUUAAAAAAUACUAUAUUCAACUUCGGUCAUUCCUUCUUUGAAUGCAUGCGCGUAAACUAAAACCCUGGAAUGUAAAAAAAAAAAAAAAAAAAAAAAAACGUUCAUCCAACCCCAGUCGGAAACUUGAAACAGAGUGCCAUCAAACACUGGAUAUAUAUAUAUAUAUAUAUAUAUAUAUAUAGAUACACGAAAAGAACAGUCUCCAACCAGUAAAGAUUGAGGAACCUACCUGUAAAUGUUUUCCCAAUUGCACCUCGACUUCGGCGCCAAAAGAGAGGUUGGCCAAAGACUUGAAAGGAUCUGUUGUUGGGUCAAGGGAGAGUAGAUUGGGGACCUGAGGUGCUGAAACCAAGCGCCAUCGUGCUUGCCCAAACUCUCCUUUUGUUUCAAUUUUGGGCAUGAGAGUCUCAACAGUAGCUGCCGCUAGCUUCUUAAACGCGAGCUGUCCAUCUCCUUCAAGCAAAGAAUCUGCUAGUUGACUUUCAAACACACGUGCAGCCUACAUAACGCAAGAGAUAUAGGUGUUAAGACAUACUGUCAUCUUCAGAUAUAAUCACUGCUAUUGAGCAGCUAAAGAAAUAAAGGACUAACUACAUUUUCUGGCAAGCACUCGAGCUCCUUCUCCAAUAGUAUCAUAUAAAAGCCAUCAUACUAUUGGAACUUUUGCAAAAUUCAUAGCAAAUUAUGCUCAAGUGAUGGUGCCAGAAGUGACAAAAAGAACCUCAAUAGGGGUAAGAGCAUCCUGUUCGCCAGUGCGAAUAGAUGUCACAACAAGAUUGUCUUGCCAUUUGCUGGCCAGCCCCUGCACCUUAAUCUGCCAAUCUGCUCCCACUAGCGCAAGGUCAAGGCUGGGAUCAAAACCUUGAUCUGGUUCAAAUUUAGCUCUAUUUGCAUGGUCCCUGUUCAGCCGAACCUGUGAUAAUCCAGCACUUCAAUCAGGAAAAGAUUCCACUAUUAAAGUUUACAUAGAAAUAAGUAAUUGGAGUCUACCAUCUGAGUAAAGUGAUGCAUCGCUAUGAUUCUGAGAAUGAAACAUGGUACAAAAAUAAAAAGGUUGAGGAUCAAACCUGGGUAGCAACUAGAUUAACAUCUCCAUUUUCAAAUGUCAAUGUACCCUUUGGUUUCACUCUCGUCGAGUCCGCAAAGCCAUUUAGCUCCAGCUCACCAUUCACCGCAAAAUUAAGGAUCAAAGGGUAUACCAUACGAAGUUCAGGGCCCAGCUGAAGCUUUAAACUUCGAAGGCGUACCGCUAUAGGCGGCUGUGACUUCUGAUCUUUACCUUCAAUAGAGGAGAGAUCGUCUGUCGAAGUACAUCAUCAAACAAAGUCAGUGAUAUUUUGAAGCUCAUCUCAAUAUUCAGUUGAACUCGGGUUUCAAACCAAGAGAAAUACAAGUCGAGGCAAAUAUCAUCUCAUUAUCAUGAUCUCGGCCUCAUCGUCCACACAUUCCACAACCAUCUACUGAAGAAACUCAGCACACAAAUUACGUCUCACCUGAUAUCUUCCUAAUGAGUUUAUCGGGCAAAGGCAACAUCUCGGCAGUUUGGUUGCGAGAAAUAUUUCCAGGUGCUGCCAUUAGAGUAUUUGCCUUGGUGAAUCUGGAGUAGGUGUUAGCUCUUGAUGAAUCUGGAGUAGUUGCUGAAGGCGAGGAAUUUGGGCCUUUCUCCAUACCUUUCUCUUGUGACAGGUAUGCUUCACCGUGGCUUAAUUUCACUAAUCCAGUGACCUCAGGUUCCAAGAGAGAACCCAUCAAACGCAUGUUACUAUCUACUUGCCCACUGCAAACCCCACAUAAGAACAGGAGGAAUCGCGCUAAUUCAGCAUAAAAUAGGAAUAAUAAAAAUGCCAACUUCAACAGAAAACAACAGUAAUCACAGAACCACGGUGGAUGAGUAAUGUACGAAAUUCUACAGAGUGCAAAUACAGUAUUCUACAUGCUUGAUCUCCCAAAACAUCAAUGUAUACUGCCAUACAUGCGCAUGGUGGAAUACUGUUAUCUGCAUGAAAUAACUACAUUAUUGGCUAAGGGUCGUGAAUUAUGGCUUCAGCAAUGAAAUUAACAUCAAAAUGUGAGUUCGAAGUUGCACUAAUCGCUUACCUGAAAGUGUGUCUAGCUCGCACCUCCAAACUAUCAGCCUUAAUUUCAAUGGCUUCUCCAUUGUUGAUUCCUUCAUUGGCUUUUAUGGGUAACUGACCCCGCACUUCCAAGCGGCCACGUCUUCCAACCCGCCCUUCUAGUCCUUCCACGCAUAGCUGAUUGUUUUUGACACAUAUGCUACCGCCCAGAUUGUAGAAAGGCCUUGGCAACACGGGAGAGGAUACAGAGACUUUAUGAAACUUUGCCACGCCAUCAGCAACUGGUUGCUGUACUGUUCCCCUAAUCUAAUUACAUCCCAACAAAGUACCAUGAUUAUCAGAGAUUCUUGCAACUGACAUCCAAACAAUUUGCGGUAAACGCAACAAAGAAGAGAAUUUCUCUAAGGAAUGUACAUCAUAAUCGCACAAUAAACGUCCAUAAUAUUCAGCCUAACUAGACUCAUUCUUAAUUUCAAAAAAACAUGGAGUGUUGACAUGGAACUCCAGCAAGAGGAAGGUUUCAGAAACCAAGAGCACCACAUCAGGUUGCAUCAAAAGUGCCGCUCUCUACACAGCCUUCGAUAUCAAAUUAACACACUCUCCUAAGUACAAUAUGCGCAAUACUAAAAUAAGAAUCCACCCACGAAUGAAAAUAUUUAAAUGCCCGACAACAGCCCAAAUCCAACUACGACUCUAUACUCCAAGAUAACUUUGAUAUAACGCAAAAGAUACGAAGUGAUGCACGGUUGAUCCAAGCAUCAAAACUAUUAAAAAUUUAGUAAAAAAAUUGUUGAUAUCAUAAUGUUUACAUGAUAUAGUUGUAAAACAGUCGGCAAACAUUCAAAACAGACACGGUAGGAUUUCAAUCAAAUAGGACUUGGUCGCCAAUGGGGAAGGUUCGAGAAGGACAACACAUCAGCCAGAAAGCAACAACAUAACAAACACAGCUAGAUUUGCAAAAACGGUGAGACAAUCAUGAAAAGAAGGUAGGAUAUUUCAGGUUGAAGGCAAUUGGAGGAGGUGCAGGACAUUUAGGAGAAAUAAUGAUGUGAAAUACCUGCGCAGUCACAUCAGCGUAACCCUGGAUCCAUUGUAAAUUUGGAGAGAAAGCUGUAAGCAACAUCAUACCCCCAUCCUUAACAGCUGCAUCUAUCUGAACAGCACCAGAAUCGACAAAAUCCUUAUCCAAAGGUUUUAAGCUCUCAGCCAAUCUCACUUCCCAUCCUUCUUCACCACCCCCACUUCUGUCCUGUACAUCACUGACCACGUUGUCAUCGUCUUCAACAUCUCGUUCCCGGCUUCUUUCCCAACCCCGUCCCCGCGCCCUUCUAUGCUUCUUCCUUUCCCUACCUUGCUCCUCGUCCAAUUCCUCUCGCAAUUCAUCCAGGGUUUCCUCUGGACUCAUAGGCAGACUUCCUCUCACGCGGACAUGACCAGCAUGCGUAAUUGGCUCAAAGACGGCAUUGAAGGCUAAUCGAUUUGCAGAAGUGAUAGACGCUGCGACUUCAGCACGACCCAAACUGACUCCUCCAAUAGCACCAUCCAGAAGUCUGAUUUGGACAUCACACUGGGGUUUAAUCAUAUGACCCCUCAGGUCACCCUCCAUGUAGAGGGUACCCUUUAAAGAUGGAGGUGAGGACACUGAAGAUGAUGGAAGAGGCUUCUGGGAGCUUGAUUGAAUAGCAUGCAAAAGAGGUGGUACUAGGUUGACAGGGAAGUUUAGAACAGCGAAGUGAAGAUUAGGCUUAGCGCCUAGCACAGUUCCAUCGGCAUGUAGAGUGGCAGUGUCUUUCUGAAUGAAAAAUCGCUCAAGUCGAAGACCGUCAUUGUUUGUAAAGUCACCAACUGCAAUGACACGUUGAGUUCUGUAGGCACCCCACUCCCAAUCCUCCCCUCGGAGAUCAAAGUCCGCCUGUCCCCACCACCAUGAAAAAAUCCUUUAUGUCUGCAACGGCUUAUCGCGAUGCUAGUAAUCUCAACUGUAGUUCCCAACUAUAAAUCUGAGUGUCGUCGAAAUUAUAUACAGACCAUUAAAAACAAAUGAGUUUACCUAUUCCACAUAUGAACUACACAUCAAAAAUAAAGGUUUAGAAAACAAACCGUAGUGUCUCCUUUGCCACCACCAGUGGCUUCAAGGGUACCUUUCCACUUUCCCUUAAGCUCCGCAAGUCCAGGCAAAGGAAGUGCUUCAGGUUCACUUUCAUCCUCGGGGUCACCAGCUUUUCUGCUGCCGAUAUAAUCCAGCAGUUCCUUUGCAUUAUCUGCAGAAAAACCUGCGUUUUGUACUCCUUGCAGAAAUAUUUCUUUUGAUCUAGACACAACAGCAGGAUCACUGCUCCGCGACAAAAGACGAGCAACUGGUAGCAUUUCAGAAACUUCUGCUUGAGGUACUUCAAGGCGCAAGCGCCAGCGUCCCAUCGAAGUGAUGAAUGUGCCUAAUUGUCCUCCCAUUGCUUUUUCCAACAUCACUUCUUCGUCUCUCUCUUUCUCUCCAGCACGUUGCCCUCGUAACACAUACUCUCCUUGCAGUUCAUACUUACUAUACGCUUGCUCAAGUACCGACUUCUCCAGCGUCACCUGUAAAUAAUUCCCUCACAAAUACCAUUAGGCCACUGUAUGACUUCAAAAGCAAUCCACAACUCUUAUUUGGUAUACGAACUUGAAACCUCUUUUCUAUGAGGAUAGCAAGCACAAAGAGUAUUAAUGAAAAGAAAGCCAAAUCUGUUACCUACCACAUCUCCAGACCAGCGAGCUGCCAAAUCAAGAGACUCUCCUUGUAGGCCGCUAAAACGUGGUUGUUUGACAUCAAGGCUCCCUCGUCCUUUCCUUCUGAGAAGAUCCAAAGACAUAUCCGCCUGUAGUUCCAACUACUAUUAAGCAAACUUACAAUCCUUUAAAAUGAAUUGAGCAAAUUCCAAAAUUUUAUCAUCAAAGUUUAAAGUUAUAGUAGAAACGACGUGACAAAUAUAUAAAGAUCUAUAUAAUGGUCAUAGCGGUAGCGGACACAGCAGACAGAAGCUGACUAAGCAAUGCUUAAACUUAACCAACCCCCACCCCACUUCCUCUGAUUCAGCAGUACCUUAUGCACUGCACCUCGCAAAGACGCUAAUUCCAACUCAUCAAGUUGCAAGUUCCGAACCUACGCCAACAGAUUUAGCUGCCGUUGCUUAGACUCAGGAUAGAAAAAAGUACUUGUACAGUAGAACUAAGAAGCACCAAGAUUACAAGACUACAUUUCAAAACAGAAUAUAAACAUCACAAUGAUACAAAAUACUCCGAAAGUAAUUAAAACUCAUCAAUUUCAUCUGUUUAAAUAGCAAGGUGCUAUAUUUAUCGCACGACAAAAGGGGACAACCUAAGGACGAAUUCAUCAGUCAAAUUUAUAAGUAGCGCUUGCAUACACAAAUGAUAAAAUCCUUUAAAUGUUUAAUAGCAGCCAAAAAUACACCACCAGGAUUUCCAAAUGCCAACAUAUUCAUAUGCAGAAAAACAUGCUCUUCCAAAUCGUACCUCAAGCUUUGCAGAAUUCCCUGGUCGAUACUGAAGAUUGGUGCGGAGGUGCCCCCUUUCUAACGAAAACGACAAUCCCUUCCGAGACCUUUCACCAGACGAGGGCAGCAAAAGUUGUCCAUCUGUGGAGGAGUUCCGGUCUUCCUUCAUGUCAAAAACUUGCACACGAAGAUGCUCGUUGAUCCUGCCGGAAGUAUCAAGCUGCAUAGAUAGUUUACAAUUUAGCAAACUAUAACAAAGAAGGAAGUAAAAGGGAAUUUGUCAUAAUAGAAAGUGGAAACAAGGAAGAUAUAAAUUUCCAGCUAAAGUAUAUUCAACAGCUUCAGCACAAAAUAGCAUUAGUUUUUUAGAAGAGAAAAAUUAUAUUUCAUACUACAGAUGGAAGCAUACAAGCUCACACACCUAAAAACUCACCUUUAAAGCAGUAGGGGAAAUGUGUAAUGAACCGAUAAGGUUUGGAGCAACCACAAAUUGAUUAAGCUUCAGUCCCGACAAAGACACGUCCCCGAUCAUGUUUGUGAGAUUCCUCUCCAAUGAUAAAUCAGAUUGUAAGCCCUCCAGCGAUGAUGUCUCCUUAUCAGGAACGUGGCCAUCGAAUUUUAUCUUACCAUAAACAUUCAUAUGCAUGGACUGAGGAGGAGAAAAAGCUUCACCAAAGCAAAGAGAUUGAACACCCAUCAGAUCAAAACCAUCCAGUCGCAUAUCAACUUCCAACCCAGUUACUGAUGGCAUAGUAGCUAAUUUCACUUUUGGAACCCGAGGACCACAAUUUCGUACUAUGGGAGGGUAUCUUGUAUGAACUGUAGUCGUUAAAUUAAAAGAAGAUGCCAACGAGUGCAGAAUGAUGGCUUCUCGAGAAAUGUGGACAUCUCCGCGACCUUCAUAAAAGGCACCUUGUGCCUCCGGUGUAGCCCAUUUAAUGUCAAAAACUCUGUCUUGCACAACAAAGAUCCCACAAUUUUCGAGUAUGUCAAAUAACAACUAGAGUUGACAGAAGAAACAAUUUUAAAUUACAAAUAUGUUGAGGUCCUAACCCAGACGAGGUAAGAUUAGUAGCGCUUACAAAUCCUUUGGAGAAAAGAAAAACAAAAACCAACAAAAAAUCAAUAAAUUAAUUAAUUAAUUAAACAACAAAUAGAAGAAGAGGAAGAAGAAACGAAGGAAGAAGUAAAGAAAGAAAUAGAGAAUAGAGAACUUGUAUCCCUUUCUGUUUACAUCACUUUCGCAUCAAAGAAAACAAUGUGCAGAUAAAGUGCUUUAGUUCCCUCAGAUAUCCAGCAAGACGGCAAAAAGGUCAUCAGAUCUUGUAUGAAAAUGUAGAAGGAAGGCGAGACUGUACGGCAUUAGCACCGCUCCACGAAUUUUAGCCUCCACCUGAGUAACUCCAAAACUAGAAGGAGGAAUCUCGACACCUGAUGGGGCAUAAAAACUUGCUAGAGAAUCCCCUGCUAUGGACCCAGAGCAAUCCACGUUUACAGCAGUUGAAUCCAUCUCACCCUGCACAACAGAAGUAUAGAUUGAGAACUCUCAAUCAGAACUUUCCAUACAAAAUACAGAAAUCUUUCAGAGAGCACAAAAUUUCUGAGAGGGAAAAAAAAAAAAAACGGGUGGGACUUCAAACCUUGCAAAAGCCCAAAAACAAAUUCAGCAACCAGGAGAAACUAUAAACAUUGUGAAAAAAAACUAUUUGACACAACAGGAAGUAAAGUUAAUUAAAUUAAAUUAAACCCAAUGUCAUCUGUCAUAUCCUGAGUACAAUAUCACUGCCCUCAGUAUUCAGUCCUUCCAUCAUUCCUAUAACAACAGUCCACGAGUUUCACUCUCUUCACUCUUUUCCAUAAGAAAUUUCGGCUUUUCAACCGACUUAAAAAGUUUUUUAGAUGCAGAAAAAAUAGCUCUCAUAAAAAUGGCAAGUUAGCUUCAAAUUGAACACGCAAGUUUUGUAAGAUGUAAGACAAGUAUAACAGCAAGGAUAACAAAUGAGUAUAGAUGACGAGAAGGAACAGACACAUGAACACUUCACAGCAACAGAUUAAACUACAAGAAUCUCCUCGAUCUAUUACUUGAACACACACGAUUCAAACCUCUGGGCAGAUCCACAGACUUCCAGCUCCACGAAUCUCACCCCCACCAACCGGACAUGCUUUGAGUCCAUACAAAUCAGCCAUCUGCAGAUGCACUUCCAGUGACGAAUAAAAAAAACAUUUUCUUAUCCAGAUAUACUUCAUAGAAACACAUCAAAUAUGUCGGCAACCUGAAAUACCCUUAUAGGCGAAAAUGUGAGCUCUACCCCGUUGAAGACAAGUAGACUCACCCCAUUGUCGGUAUUGAAAGUAAAACUUGAGGAAGCAGACACGAAGGGUACACGAUCAUAAGCAGCUACCGCACCCCUCUCAAGGUUUUUCCGGACUGCAUCGAUAGCAGCUGACGGGGGUGAAUCAUAAGUCAGUGUCAUAUUUCUGCCAGUUGUUUCAACACUGCCUUCAAAAAUUGGGCUGUCCAGUGGGCCCCGACAAUAGACAACACCCUUCAGAGACCCUGCCAGCUGCCAUAGUCUGAGUAUCAGUGAAGAUGUUUGAGUUCAUUCGCUUGCACUUACAUAAUACAUUCAUGCGGAAAUGGUCAGCAAAAGAUAAUUCAACCUUCAAUUUGAAAAAGUUAUAAAUCACAGAAACCCCAGUCGGCCAAAGAAAUUACCCACUGAUAUUGAGGAAGGAACCUGAGAAAAGACAAGAAACUCAUGAUAUCAUCACAUGUCACUUCAGCAUCGAAAAUGAAAAAGAAUGGAAAUAAACAAAACGUACAGAUAAAGGAGGUGGCUGCGCACCAAGACUCCUCAUUAGCGCAUUUGCUUCCACCCCUGCAACCUAAAGAAAUGGAUGUACCCCAAUUGGAUAUGUAAGUGAAAGACGAUUAUUGAGUCCUACGUCCACAUAUAUUUUAAAAGAGUAUUGAGUAAACAAGCACGAAGCAAGAAAAUACAAAAAUUUGAACUCCAUUUGAAUUAUGUGAAUUAUAGCCUAAGCUUAAGAGAGCUGAGGCCACCAAACACAAAGAGCGGAACUACACAAGCAACAAUUAAUUGGCAAUUCAAAAAACUUCUCAAAAAUUAAGCAAAGUAAAAUUCUAUCAUGUAAAAAUAAGAUCCUAGUGAACAUUCAUGACACUGACCAACACAAAACUACUUUACUAAUUUUUAAUAAGCAGUCAAUGCUUCAGGGAGACCUGGCAACUGAGGCGGUACUCUCCGUCGUCCGGAUUAAUGUCCAUAUCUCCAGAAACUGUCAAUGGAAUGGACCCAUAUUUUCCAGUAGCAUUGUGAAAAAAUAAGCGCUGUCCUUGAAAGAAGAUUGUGCCACCAACGCCCUGUAAUGUAAAAAUUUUGAACUGGUCAAUUAGGCCAAAACACAUUCAGAAUUUAAACAAUUGGAUACAGGAAAUAAUACAUGAAUAAACAAAACGAACCGUGAAGGAGGCAGGGGCAUCUGCAAUACGGAAGUCAAGCCCUUUCACAUCUAGCCUGCCACCAAAGUUUGGAAACGCGUCUUCCUUCUUCAUCCAGAUUCGUAGCUAUAAUAAAAAAACCAUAAAGGCAGCAAGAAACACAAAAAAUCAACACAUCCAGGUUGAAAUUUCUCUGAUUGUUGAAUAAGACCUAAAACCAACCAUACUCUGACAAGAUUGAAAUCUGCUUCAGCACUAGCUUGUGAGGCUUUUGCAUUCACGCAUUCAAGCCUCUACAUCCUUCUAGUACAAACAAUUAACUUGCCAUGUUACAGCAAUGUCUCAGAAAGAAAAACUUCGGAAAAUAAAUCCACGUGACCUGCUGUAAGCGGUACUAUUGCUUCGUCCUUACAAAUUGUUAAUUUACCUAACAAACUCUAGGCCCAAUUGGUAAGACUGAACUAGCUCAUCGAGCAACUAGAUACAUGGGCAAGAUUUCAUAGCAACUGAACAGGAAAACUCGUAAGUUAAGAUGAGUAAGUGCAAAGUAAAACCUCUCCUGAUGCCCGGCCAUUUGACCACUCCAAAGGUAACUCGAGUAACCUCUCAAAGAGCUGCAUCAUGAAACAGCGAGUAUAGGUGACAAAACUUGCAGCUGUUGGAUUAAGUCAUACAGAUAUUGUUAAAAUACUAUCAGGAGCAAGCUACUAAACGUGUGCAUGUCCUACCGUAAACAUGUGACAUCAUAGUAGGUGUGGCAGGCUUCUUGUAUACACCUAUUGAAGUCAUGCCAGCACCAUGAUAACACAACAAAGUUUGACUAACCAACAACGAGAGCUAAACCAGAUUAACGUGAGGACUUUAAGAACGAAAAACUCCAAAACCUAAAACAAAUACACAUAAGCAGAGGUCCUCACUGGUGCAAAAAUAUUGCAGCUUUUGAGUCUGACAUCCCAGGACUGAUUAGCCAGGUCAACAGCUACUUUCACAAGAAGCCUCCCACCAUUCCCUGUCUUCCCUGUUCGCCAUUCAUUGGGCCUUCCUGUCACCUGCACCAGAAUCUGCUGGUGGUUACCGCUCAGUUUGACAGACCCUUCAACCCUCUCCAUCACCCUGCAAAGAUGAAAAAUGUAAAAGCGGAUCAGUUCAAGUCCGGGUCAAAACUAUGGUCCCGUAUUGCACUUGAACCUCGCCGGAGUAAAUAAUCACGUUUACAGUACUUUAAUCACUUCACAAUUUACUGCACCUUCUUUGAUAUUAUCAAUUUAUAAACUCUUGAUGGAAGUGCACAGCAUUGUUCCAAUAUAAAAUCUUAGCGGCAUAUCAAUGCCAUAUGCAAAAUGACAGCUCCAGUGUGCUUCCAGGCACCAUGCUUACCCCCAAGAACGAAAAUGUGACAGACUAUCACAAAAAUAACGAUGACAGAGUAAAACCAUCAUACAUGGUGCUUCUCAGUUAAUCAUAACAACGUCGCCACUGCCAAAAAUUCGCCGACUUAAAACAAAUUUAUAAAUAAAUGAGAUCGGAGACGCUAAAUUGUACACAAAUAUGAAGUUCGUGUACAGAACAAUAACUUUCUAAACCGAUUACCAGACCAUUAAACAGAGUAAAAUUUGGAAAAUGCAUCAUAGACUCUCUAGAAUGAAUAAUUAUCAGAUGACAUUCCCAAUGUGAAGUAAAAGAAAAACAAUUACAAGAACUUCUCUUUGGGGUAAUUGCAACACUUGAGUAAUAAGCUAAGCAUGUCGAUGACGAGCAAAUAGAGAUAAUGCAACAACGGAGGCUUCAUACCUAGGUUCUUCAUCACCAUACCCCAACAAGGAAAGCGUUCCUUCCUUGAUAUACACAGAGUUUAAGGCAAUUGGCGUCCAUCCAUUAGCUCGAGAAACAUCUACCCGCCUCUUAGCUUGUCUCACAAGUCUGUUAGCGAGGCUUUUGACCUUUAUUGUCAACGACAUCCCAUGCCCUUCAUCCUUCGUUGAUCCAUGAUCCCAAAGCUCAUCAAAGGAGCUCAUCCCAGUUCCUUUCAAAGUAGCAGGAGAAGUUUGGUCCGUUCUUGAUGUCUGCACAUUCCCACCUUGUCUGCUCUGAAAUGCAUGAUGAUUCGUCACUGAUGCCACCAAGCCAUCCCCAAUUUCCUUAGUGUUUACAAAUGAUUGAUUGUUCUCCAUCUGAAGAAUAUUGGAAGAAACUUUCUCUAAAUCAGAUUUCAUACCGCCUCCUUGUCCCUUAAUUCCACUAUUCCUUGCAGAAAGGAGCUUUCGCCUUUUAUCUCGAUCGAUCUUUUCAAACAUGCCGCGACAAGCUAUGGCACUACGUUGGAGGUUCCAGUUUUGAUAUUCAGACUUUGAGAGCACGGAGCUACGCCUUUGAGACCGCAUCUUUAACAGCUUCCUUCUUACGGGCUUCAGAAAAUGCUUUUCAGUCCAGCUUUUCGCUCUCCAGACCUGUCUUUCAAUAUCUUUGGCUAAUAAGGGUGCGUCAAAGUCGUCCUCGCUAAAACCUGCAAUGGUGUUCCUUUUCCCCCUCCGCUCUAUUCUCUGAAAACCACCUUGUUCCUGAGAGUUUAAACUCUCAUCAUCAACAUCUGAUUCGGCCUGAGCAAUCUCCAUAUCGCCCUCAAUACUCCCUAGACUUUCCUUUUCAAUCACAUCUUUGCUUUUUGUAUUGACGGAAUCCACCAUACCUCCCAUUCUAUAACCAGAUUUGCUAGCUUGGCGUGCAGCUAAAUCCCUUUCCUUCAUCAUUUUUAACAAAGUAUCUUCUCGUGCAAUGCGUCUCACUUUGGUGCGAUCAUCAAUACCAGCUUCAGAGCUAUGCCUGUUGGUGGUGGGUUUUUUCUCUGAUAACAUAGGAAUACUCAACCAAGACCAAUCCCGCUUCUGAGCAACAAGCACAUGAGGAUUCCUUAACACAGCAUCCAAGACAACUUGGCCCCUCUUGAGACUCUUUAAUGGUCGGAAAUGAAUUUGAAUUGCUGGAAUUCCUCCACAGGAAAAUUCCUCUGCAUGAGGUCCGAUAGAACUUGUACCAAGAGAUACGGAUAAGAAGGACAACCGUUCCACUUUCCCAAGCCUCACAUCCCGACCCAAGUGCGUAGUUAAAAUUGAAGCCAGGGGAGGCAGGAUAUUGCGGUCCAUAUACAGCUGAGCCCGCAAUUGUGCAUAGCGUGCGCUGGCUACGAGCAACAACAUUGCGGCCAGCCAUGAUGCAGCUUUGAUGAAGCGGGCUCGGAAUUGAUGAGCGUGCAGGCGUUGAAGCACGCUAGGAAAAGUAGACACGGUAGGGCGGUUUUGGCGCCACCAAGAGGUUCCUUGAUCAAAGAGGUUAGAGGAGGCGCGUACAGGACGCACAGACGAGGGACGAGAACGGCGGAUGGGGAGGGGAGAAGAGAGACGAGAAAUACUAGUGCGGGAAAGAGAGGAGGAGCGGAGGGUGGAGGAGGCAGGGGAAUAAGCGAGCCUGGCCAGCAUCAUCCCGAGAGAGGGAGGGAAGGAGAAGAGAAGAGGAGGAGGAGAAGUAGGAGGAGGAGAAGUAGGAGGAGGGGGGGGGGGGAUUAAACAAGGAGGAGGGCAGAUGAGGAGGAGGAGGAGGGGGAGGAAGAAGAUAUGAUCAUGGUCGUGGAGAAAGCGGGAGAAGCAGAAGCAGAAGAAGACCAAAGAAUUGCCCUAGCACAUGAACGAACGAGGGCGGGAAGGGAAGGGGAGGAGGAGGAGGAGGAGGCAAUUGAGAAGCCCGGAAAAAGGAAAUGGUGCCGCGCGUUUGUGGAUUCUUCAAUGGAGACGAGAAGUGAAGCUGGAGAAUGACCUUGGGAAUCAAGGGGUCACCACUCGCCACAGCCACAAUUUUUCUCGCUCUCGCUCUCGCUCUCUCUCGUCUCUCUCUCGUCUCUGGCUCGCCCCUCGCGUCUCUCUCGCUUCUCCCGCGCUGGCGUGACUAUGGCUGGCUGGCUCGCAGUGCGCGGACUCAACGCCUGGCUUACUACUACUACUUACCACUACUUACAGUCCAGUCCAGUCCCAGCUCGCCCCGGUCCUCAUCGACCCCACCCCACCCACCCAACAGCAGCAGCAGCAGCAGCAUGGACACGAUGGCCUCCUCCUCUGUGACUCCAAGCAAGCAUGCCCCCCUCAGCCCCCUCCCUCCCACGCUGCUAAGAAUGGGAUGGAUGAAAGUUCUCUUCCGUGGAUGACCUGUUGGGACAAUGCAUGCAACUAGUGGCUAGGGCUGUCCAAAUAACCAUAUGGCUGCAAAGAAAGUCCCUAAACCCAGCCGAAGGGGGAGGGGAAGUGGGGAUUGAUGGAGUGGGUUUUGCCGGAGGAGGAGGAGGAGGGGAAAUCCAGUCCAGUUGUCCGUACACACACACACACACACAAGUAUAUAUAUUCUGAAGUAGGAGAACAUGAAACUAAUUAUCAUUUAUAAACAAUUCUCAACAUGUGUUCCACAUUCUUAUCAAGAUUCCCCAGGAAAUCAAUCUAAAUGUUAAUUAACACACAUUUAAUAGUUUAUUACCUCAUCUGAAAAAAAAUCCUUUUUAUAAAUCAAUUCUCUGCAUUUUGUAUUGAUAAUGUUUGAAUGAUGUUUGAAAAUAAAUAAAUAUAUAAAUACCUUUUUCAAUCCUAUAGCAUGUAACAACAUUGUUUACUGUAAAUUUAAACUUGAGUAGAAAAAAUAUUAUUAAUUCAAUGUUUCAAAAUAAUAUAAUACUAUAAACACCUUAUUCCAUUACAUAAAAAUUGUGGCUUAUCUAACAUCUAACACAAGUGGAAGUUUUGCAUUCCCUUCUACUUAUCAAAAUUUUAUCUUUUUCUAUAAUGAUUUUUAUUGUAGUGGAGUUCUAUAAGUAAUAAAACACACAUUUCUUCUUUUAUCCAAUGUAUAUAUGUAUACAUCUGCAUCAUUCUUUACAUGAUUUCAUAUAUAAUUGAUUAUUUUGUUUAUUUUCAGAAUUUAUAUAAUACAGUAGAUAUUGAAAAGACAACACUAACUAACUAACUAACUAACUAUAUAUAUAUAUAUAUAUAUAUAUAUAUGGUGACAAAUGAAAUUUAGAUUAUUUUAGAUUUGUUAUAUCUUAAUUUAUUUGCAGUACAAAUAUCUAAAAAUAUAUCUAGUAAAUCAUAUAAAAAAUCAAAAAAUAUUAAAAACAUAUUUGUUAUAUGUAAAUUUUUAUCUAUUAAAAUAAUAAAUAAUAGCUCAAAGUGAAACAAAAUGGUACCAAGCCAUGAACAAAUCCUUGAAGUUAGUUAAGUUAUUUUAACUUGGGGUUUAAAUUUGUAGUAUCAAUGCAUAUUAUAAUUAUAGUAAGAAGUAAAACCACUAAUUAAUACAUCUGUAUAUCAAACAAAGUAUAAGAUGUAUAUCAAAUAUAAAAGAAAACAUUUCAAAAUAAAUGUAUUAAAGUUUCAUUUGAAAUAAGAUUGUGUUUUAAUGAAUAUUAAAGUUUCAAAAAUGUCAAAAAAUGAUUAUUUAUUUCUUAAAAUGAUAACUUUUUGUUUGAGAAUAGAAUUAAACUGACUAAAAACAGAAAAAAGUUAGGAAAGUGUUGAAUUGUGUAGCCACAGCUGGUGAUUAAGAAAAGUAGACUUCCACAUGAUAAUUUGUCUCUAGUUCUUUCACAUACAAUGCAUGGAUUAACUAAUUUUUUCAAAUGUAUACUUUGAGAAUUACUUAAUAUAUUGGGCAUGCAAAGUAGAUAUUGACAUUGCCUUUUGGUACUAAUUUUUGUGGAUGCCAAAAAUUGAAAAGUUACUGUAUACACGUAUUUUUGUUAUGAGAACAAUUUACUCAAAACAAAUUGAAUAUGUUGUAAAGCACACUCAAAACACAUUCCAAGCACAAAACCUAUAAUCUUAACAACAGCGAGCAUUGUGCUGGAAGUUGUCUUUAUCAGAUUUACCAAUCUUGAAAGUUUCAAAAUUUUCGAAACUAAUUUGCAGUUCAGAAUUUAAAUUAGUAUCGAAAUUUAAUGUGCUAUCAGAUAUGUUUGAAUUAUCAUGUUCAAUCACUUCAAUAUUAUCAGUUUAUUGUUGUGUUGAAAUAAAUUUCGAAGCAUUACUACUUCUUCAAAGAAUGAUUCUCAAAUAAUGCAAAACACAUUUAGAUUCACAACGAGGGAAAAAAUGAAAACAGAAUAAAAAAAUAUGCAAACAUGAAUGACUCCACAAUCAUUAAGUUGACUAACCACUUUGUGGAUUCACCAACAAAAACUACAUAUUCUAUUAUAUUUUAGUAUUUCUUUAAAGUUUUAAUAUUUUUCAAAUCAUGCAUUAACAAUGAUACAUUAGUUUGUGAGAGUGCUUCCAAAUAAAUGUUUUUUAAAGUACACUACUUUAAUAAAUGACGACUUAAUUUAAUUUGUUUUCACUUGAGUGAAAUAUAACAUGAAAACGGGCUUGACAUUUAGUUCUUUUUGUGAUGUUUCUCAAUAUGAAAACUUAUAGGAAUCUAUGCACUAUUACACUAUUCAAAAGUUUUCAAUAUUAUUUAUUUCACAUCUGAAAUUCAGUAGCCCCAAUUCAAAACAAAAUCGUUUAACUAAACAUUUAUCAUUGAUAAAGAUUUGGACCUUGGAUGUUUCUUAAUUCAAACCCCAGAAAUAUAAUCAGGAUUUAACGUUAGAAAGAUUUACACAAUCUUCUAAAGGCUUAAGGAAAAUCUUUUAACGUUAAGCAAUUAUAUUCUCAUUUCAAAUUUGUCUUUCACUGCAGAGUUUAGAAUCAAUAUGCGAGUUCUAAACUUUGUAUUGAAAUACGAAAAACCCUAGCACAUCCAGAUUUUUUGCAUCUUAUUUUAAAAAAAUGUCAGUCUUGUUAGGGUUCAAACAGUCGAACUCUAAAAAGAGAAGAUGGACAAUUAUGUUCCGUGUUUCCAACUACUAUUUUCGGUUACACAUAUUCAUUGUGGUGCGAGAAUAAAUAGGAAUAUAAGAAGAUUGUAACCACGUAAACAAACAAGUAAUGAGCAAGAAAGCAUUUGAGUCAAACAUGAAUAUAUUUCAUGCAAACACAUUUAUAAUAAACGUGGACUGCCCGCCAAACUGAAACCUACACUUGGCAUGGCUAGGCUUUGUGAUUGAAUAUCACACUUCUCGCCAAGUGGAGAUUCAACCAGGCACUCCAAGCUCGCACCAAAUGAAGGUGGGUGAAAAAUGUAUCGGUCCUCUGACUCUUACACAUUACUUUUUUCUGCUUGAGUCACCCAUGAUUAUAUUAGGGAGUAGAAAACCACGUUUAGGAUAAAAUAUUACAAAAAUAGCACAACGAAUGCUGCAUAGGCUGUGAACAACUUCCAUCUGCUAAGAGCUCGGAGGAUGUUCUCCCUGACCAAAUACCAGAGACCCAGGAAUGUUACUUCUUAAAGUCCAAGUCAGAAUGACAAUGUAAGCUCCUGAGAAACAUCCCCGAACAUUUGAUCACAGAGUGAAAAGUGUUGACUAGAAAUGCCAUCUGGCACAAUCAGAAACCGCCCCUACACAUCUUCUUGUCCCUCUCCGAAUGCCCCUAAUAGCUUCAUGUCCUCUAAGAAUGCAGAAUAAGUGUCAUCUAUGGUUGUCGGCUUAACCACACGAGGAGGUUGCAGAACAGAGGCAACUUGAGCAGAUAUUGCUGAAACAGUCUUAGGCUUUACUUUGGGAGCAUUCUCUCUUCGAACACGGACUGACGCUGGUACCUGCUCCACAGCAGACAGCCACAGAAACAUCAUUUAUGAGUGUCUAAAAUCCCACUUGAGGUGUUAAGAUAUUGAAAACAAAAGAUUUCAAAUUCACCAUUGUAUGAAGAACUGCUAAAUGCUAUCUAAAUAACUUUUCUAAAAGUGAGCAUUCAGCAGAAGUAUGGAAAUUUGGGGAGAUGGAGAAAUUCAACGAUUCCUUAAUCUAAGUAAUGGAAAGAAACCAUGUGAAUUUAGAGGAGAGGACCUACCAUAGAGGUCAGUUCAGGAGUAUGCUGAGCUAGAGGUCUUUUAACAACCGUAGGUGCGGCGGAUUUCACAUACGAAGGCUUUGCAGCCCCACCGGAUCUAACCGGAUCUUCGUUACCUCCCUCAUGAACUACCCUAGGAGGAGGGGGAGGGGGAGGAGUGCCUUUAACCAUCGGAGGAGGUCCAGCAGGAGGGCGCAUAACAGGGGGUGGGCCGGACGGAGGCGGACCAAGUCUCACUGGAGGAGGGCCCGGAGGUGGUCCAGGGGGAGGUAACAUUCCUGAUUGCAACAUCCUCGGUGGGGGAGGUGGAAGAGGCAAGGAUGACAUUUCUGGGGGUAGUGGAGGUCCAGGUAGAGUAGGUCGAAAAGGAGUCACACCAGGAGGAGGAGCUUCUGAAGAAGAUGGGUGUUUUGGAGGAGGACCAGAAGGGGGCCGCAUCAAUAGAGAAGUGGGAAGAGGCGGAGGAGGGCCAACAGGCGGACGCAUUGGAGGGGGAGGUGGUGGUGGUAGGUUUUGUCGAACAGCAUCAGUGCUCCUAGAAUCAGCUGGCGCGUCGUCCUCUAUUUCGUCCUGAAUUUCCUCCCCAGAAGGUAUGGAAGGGCGCCGCGGAGGUGGUGGAGGUGGUGGCAAUCUUCCAGGGGGCUACAAAAAAGUCGAAAUAGCACCUUCAGUUAUGAGAAACGCCACGGAUGAAUAUUGUCCAAAUUACGUGCAUCAGGUGUGGAGAGAAGACAAAGAGAGGAAAGAAAAGAAAAGAAGAGAAAAAGAAACCAGAAGGAGAAAGAAUUCAUGGCAGAAUCAUGAAUGAGCCAAGAAUAUAAACAUACAAAUAAAGACCAAGCGAAAGUUAAAAAUCCGAAACUAUCUUGAAAAUUUGAAAGACUUCAGGAACUUACAAUGAAAUACAUUGUUCUAUGUCGUGAGUUGUCUCCAAGGUCAACAUUCUCCGAUUUUGCAAUAGACGCUUCUUCGUCAGUUCCCGGAGGUACCUCUUCCCUGGAUAUGCCAGGAGGAAGCGGUUGUCCAGGACGAGGUGGCGGUGGAGGUGGUAUCAUUGAAGUUGCAUGAGGAGGUCGACCUAGAAACAAAGGAGGAGGUGGUGGCAGCGUGCCUUGAACAGGACCUGGAGGAGCUGGUGGUGGAGGAGGUACAGGCACUGGUAAUGGCAAUGGGACUACAUUUUCUCCAGCCGAGAAACCUUCUCCAGCAGAAGGUAGUGGAGGAGGCGGUGGAGGAGGGGGAAGGGGUAGGGUUGUGUCUGGGUCCAUGUCCAGGUCCGUUUCACCACUAGGACCUGCAGUACUUGAAAGAGGGAUUCGAGGUCCUGAAGCAAUCACAAUUCUAUUACAACGGUAACAAAGGCGGAAAAUCUCCAUACUAGCAAAUGUGUUCAAUUAAGAGCGGUAGAUAGGAAUUUGGACUUGCAAAAGUGUUCAAAGCUUUCACUGUUAUGGAAAAUGCUUCAGAUAAAGUACACCUCCUAAAUUUAAAAUCUUAAGUGAGAAGUAAAAAAAAAGUUCAUGACGUAACUUAUGAGGAUAUGGCAAACGACUUCAGAAGACCAUGAUACUUAAGUAAUUCAAAAACUCAUUCAAAUAUGGAAGAUAAAGACACAUGAAG
This 37155-nucleotide long non-coding RNA is filed under the name Physcomitrium patens. Its description in RNAcentral is "long non-coding RNA (PPAT_LNC002498)". The record is from RNAcentral. Lineage: Eukaryota; Viridiplantae; Streptophyta; Bryopsida; Funariales; Funariaceae.